Gadus macrocephalus (Pacific cod) is the source of this 1317-nucleotide long non-coding RNA. RefSeq lists it as uncharacterized. NCBI's taxonomy places the organism in Eukaryota, Metazoa, Chordata, Actinopteri, Gadiformes, Gadidae. The transcript is spliced from 2 exons. The record is from RefSeq and is a predicted model, not a curated record.
UAUAGGCUGUGUCCCAAUUCCAAGGACGCAUCCUUCGAAGGCUGCAUUCGAAGGAUGCGUCGACGCCGAUUGCGUCACAGCGUCGCGCCAAGUGCUGUCCCAAUUCCAAGGGUCCUUCAAAUGCGGCCUACGAAUGCAGCCUUCUUUUCCCGGAUUUGAAGGAUGCAUCGGCUGUAUCCUUCACGGCCCAACGUAUCCCAAGAUCCUUCACGGCCCAACGUAUCCCUCCCAAGAUUCAUUGCGCAUUCAAUCAAUGGAGAUGGCGGAGAAUGGCGAUUUAAGUUCUGCAUUUAAAUGUAAGUAUUUGGUUUCUAGUCACUCGAGUAUUUAACGAUACAAAUGUUAAAAAUACAAGGGCCCUUAAAACUUUUUUCAUUAAAGUAAUAGGCAAUAUAAGUAAGGUAACGUUACAGUUAGUGACGCUGUAACGUUAACUAAGAACACCCGUUAAGUCCUAUAGUUUCAAAUUUAAGAGGUUAAAAUGGUUAUAUUUACCGAAAUUGUGGCGAUUAUAUAGAUAAUUUGCUAUUCUGUAACGUUAGAUAAAUGGACCAACGCGAACACAGGUUGUGGACCCUGGUUUUCAGACCGUAACGUUACAGACGUUGGGAUUGAUUACACAGUUAACUUGGUUAUUUUGCUAUUUAAGCUGCUUUGGUUUGGUAGUGUAAAGCAAAACUAAUUCUAACAUUUGGUUUUGGUUUAGGGGGCCAGCAGCAUACUGCUCGAUUUAUUCUAUUGAGGGGGGAGAAUGAUGAGCUGUUCACCGGGGUGAAAUACUCAGCAAGUGUGGCUUGGGGGAUUGCAAGUAUCCAGGGUCAGGAGAGGGGGUAGGUGGGAAACCCACUGCUGCCACUUGGACCUGGUUUGUCCCCAUGGAUGAGGUAUUAUGACAGAUGCAUUCCACCAACCCCCCUGUCCUAAUUGCCUCCAUCCCUGAGAACACACCAGGGCCAAGUACAGCAGUGGUGGAUCAGGAGGUUGAGGACAAGGAUCAGGAGGAGGAAAGACAGCGAGGGCCAAGGUCCAGAAAGAGGGACAGAGAGGAAGACAUGUUCCAGAGUCGCUCACUAUCUUCCGAAAAGGACUCAAGAUUCACCUGUUCAGAGUCCACCUCGACUGCAUAGCCACCCUCCCCCUUCUGGCAACCAUUGUACACUGUGUUGUAUUGUAUUGUAUUAUAGUACUUAACUGUGUAGCAACUGCAGUAGCUGCUAUCAUGGCUGUAACACGGGGAAUGGGUUAGCCUAGCGAUUGUGGUACUUGCACUUGGUUCUAUGAACAUCCUUUCUGUACCGACAGCGAUAUAUUGAUGCA